Molecule: ribosomal RNA, 176 nt
Filed under: Disperis sp. CPG 29188
Lineage: Eukaryota; Viridiplantae; Streptophyta; Magnoliopsida; Asparagales; Orchidaceae
Description: 5.8S ribosomal RNA
Rfam family: 5.8S ribosomal RNA (bases 4-160)
About the family: 5.8S ribosomal RNA (5.8S rRNA) is a component of the large subunit of the eukaryotic ribosome. It is transcribed by RNA polymerase I as part of the 45S precursor that also contains 18S and 28S rRNA.
Source: RNAcentral
UAUGACUCUUGACAAUGGAUAUCUUGGCUCUUGCAUCGAUGAAGAGCGUAGCGAAAUGCGAUACAUGGUGCGAAUUGCAGAAUCCCGUGAACCAUCGAGUUUUUGAAUGCAAGUUGCGCCUGAGGCCCAGCAGGCCAAAGGCACGUCUGCCUGGGAAUCAAGCAAUUCAUCGCUCU